UGCCAGACUCCUACGGGAGGCAGCAGUGGGUAAUAUUGCACAAUGGGUGGAACCCUGAUGCAGCGACGCCGCGUGGGUGAAGAAGUCAUUCGUGACGUAAAGCCCUAUCAGCAGGGAAGACAAUGACGGUACCUGACUAAGAAGCCCCGGCUAACUCCGUGCCAGCAGCCGCGGUAAUACGUAGGGGGCAAGCGUUAUCCGGAUUUACUGGGUGUAAAGGGAGCGUAGACGGUUAAUCAAGUCAGAAGUGAAAACCCAGGGCUCAACCUUGGGACUGCUUUUGAAACUGAGUAGCUAGAGUGCAGGAGGGGUAAGCGGAAUUCCUAGUGUAGCGGUGAAAUGCGUAGAUAUUAGGAGGACCACCAGUGGCGAAGGCGGCUUACUGGACUGUAACUGACGUUGAGGCUCGAAAGCGUGGGGAGCAACCAGGAUUAGAUACCCCAGUAUC
This 448-nucleotide ribosomal RNA is filed under the name uncultured bacterium. RNAcentral's name for it is "partial 16S ribosomal RNA". It matches the Rfam family "Bacterial small subunit ribosomal RNA", at positions 329 to 794 of the family's 1533-position model. The record is from RNAcentral.